Meriones unguiculatus (Mongolian gerbil) is the source of this 99-nucleotide small nuclear RNA. Lineage: Eukaryota; Metazoa; Chordata; Mammalia; Rodentia; Muridae. The record is from Ensembl.
GUGCUCACUUCAGCACCACAUAUACUAAAAUUGGAACAAUACAGAGAAUAUUAGCAUGGCCCCUGCGCAAGGAUAAUUCGUGAAGUGUUCCAUAUUUUU